CCCUUAGAUGUUCUGGGCCGCACGCGCGCUACACUGAUGCAUUCAACGAGUUUCUUCCUGGUCCGAGAGGAAUGGGUAACCUUUUGAAAGUGCAUCGUGAUAGGGAUAGACUAUUGCAAUUAUUGGUCUUCAACGAGGAAUUCCUAGUAGACGUAGUUCAUCAGACUGCAUCGAUUACGUCCCUGCCCUUUGUACCCACCGCCCGUCGCUCCUACCGAUUGAAUGCUCAGGUGAGCCAUUCGGACUUUCAUCAUGCUGGUUUCCAGUUUUGAUGAAGGAAAGUCUUGCGAACCUUAUCAUUUAGAGGAAGGAGAAGUCGUAACA
This 324-nucleotide ribosomal RNA is filed under the name uncultured eukaryote. RNAcentral's name for it is "partial 18S ribosomal RNA". It matches the Rfam family "Eukaryotic small subunit ribosomal RNA", at positions 1470 to 1796 of the family's 1831-position model. The record is from RNAcentral.